Molecule: ribosomal RNA, 497 nt
Filed under: uncultured bacterium
Lineage: Bacteria
Description: partial 16S ribosomal RNA
Rfam family: Bacterial small subunit ribosomal RNA
Source: RNAcentral
GACGAACGCUGGCGGCGUGCCUAAUACAUGCAAGUUGAGCGAUGAAGAUUGGUGCUUGCACCAAUUUGAAGAGCAGCGAACGGGUGAGUAACGCGUGGGGAAUCUGCCUUUGAGCGGGGGACAACAUUUGGAAACGAAUGCUAAUACCGCAUAACAACUUUAAACAUAAGUUUUAAGUUUGAAAGAUGCAAUUGCAUCACUCAAAGAUGAUCCCGCGUUGUAUUAGCUAGUUGGUGAGGUACAGGCUCACCAAGGCGAUGAUACAUAGCCGACCUGAGAGGGUGAUCGGCCACAUUGAGACUGAGACACGGCCCAAACUCCUACGGGAGGCAGCAGUAGGGAAUCUUCGGCAAUGGACGAAAGUCUGACCGGGCAACGCCGCGUGAGUGAAGAAGGUUUUCGGAUCGUAAAACUCUGUUGGUAGAGAAGAACGUUGGUGAGAGUGGAAAGCUCAUCAAGUGACGGUAACUACCCAGAAAGGGACGGCUAACUACGUG